Molecule: long non-coding RNA, 1087 nt
Organism: Dicentrarchus labrax (European seabass)
Lineage: Eukaryota; Metazoa; Chordata; Actinopteri; Moronidae
Exons: 3
Source: RefSeq, a predicted model, not a curated record
GGAAAACGUUGGAAUGUGAUAAAUGAGGCGUGGAAGCAAGAGCAAUGGAAGGAGGGACGGCAGGGGAAGUGUGCUAAGUGUAGCCCGGGGCCACCUUCUUCAACCUCUGUACAGUAUGUGGAUGUCUUCAGAGCUGUAGUAACCAGAGCAAACAUAUGACAAGGAAGCACCACUCAGGGUGGCAAAGACCAGGUGAAGAACCUGUUGUGGUCAUGUAGGCCUUUAUUGAAGUCUGAUCUCGCACUGGAGCACCUGGCGAAUGUGGUGUAAAUAAGAUGUUCACAUGCAUUUACUAUGACAAAGAGCAGAGCACUCAUAAAUGUCUUUUAAGACGGAUGGCAUAGUUUUGAAGCUAACAGCAUUCCUCUAAAUACUUAACAGGAGAAUCCACAGAUUAUCUAAAUUGUUUCCAUAACACGCAUUUGUCUCAGGCCUCGCAAAUGCUUGUUAGGUAUGUUUAACCCUCAUCACUGAAACUAUAGUGGAGCACCUGAUAAACUUGAACCAGGGUUCCUGGUGGGGCUGACUAUGGUGACUCACUAUCAUUGCAUCACAUCAGGAAAAGGUUGUGAUGCAAUGCAGGGACAAUCAAGAAAGUGACGUGUCAUGUUUAAACUACUGUAAAGUCCUGUUUGAAUGCUGUAUGAAUAUUGUACAAAUCAGGUUUUCAAAAACCUUAAUCUAUACACGGAUACACGGAUUUGGAUUUAGAUAGCUGGCUUAAUCAGUCAAGAUUGGUAUUUAAUCAUCACAGACAAGUUACUAUUAGUAAAAAGAUGACUGUUUUGUCAUGGUAUUCAAGAUUAAUUAAUUAAUUAAUUGCCAGGCAUGUGGACAUCUAAGUCCUUAGGGAAUCUAUAUAAAGUGCAUGGUCUCAGAUUUCCUAGACAAAGUAAAGAGAAUAGUAGAAUAGACACGUCUUAGGACAGAUUGCAUUCAGAUAUGUGCAUACAUGGGAAACGCCACCACAGUAAUGGCAACUUGUUUACUUCCCUGGAUUAAUGUAUAGCUUCCACUUGUUGCUUGGUGAUUGGAGGUUUCUUACAGAAAUGUAUAUGCAAGCUUGGACCUGUGAGUUUUUACAAAG